RNAcentral lists this ribosomal RNA (492 nucleotides) under uncultured bacterium. Its description in RNAcentral is "partial 16S ribosomal RNA". It matches the Rfam family "Bacterial small subunit ribosomal RNA", at positions 29 to 507 of the family's 1533-position model. The record is from RNAcentral.
AGUGAACGCUGGCGGUAGGCCUAACACAUGCAAGUCGAACGGCAGCGCAGUAAGAGCUUGCUCUUACGGGUGGCGAGUGGCGGACGGGUGAGGUAUACAUCGGAAUCUACUUUUUCGUGGGGGAUAACGUAGGGAAACUUACGCUAAUACCGCAUACGACCUACGGGUGAAAGCAGGGGAUCUUCGGACCUUGCGCGAUUGAAUGAGCCGAUGUCGGAUUAGCUAGUUGGCGGGGUAAAGGCCCACCAAGGCGACGAUCCGUAGCUGGUCUGAGAGGAUGAUCAGCCACACUGGAACUGAGACACGGUCCAGACUCCUACGGGAGGCAGCAGUGGGGAAUAUUGGACAAUGGGCGCAAGCCUGAUCCAGCCAUACCGCGUGGGUGAAGAAGGCCUUCGGGUUGUAAAGCCCUUUUGUUGGGAAAGAAAAGCAGCAGGUUAAUACCCCGCUGUUCUGACGGUACCCAAAGAAUAAGCACCGGCUAACUUCGUG